Molecule: transfer RNA, 72 nt
Filed under: Sicyopterus stimpsoni
Lineage: Eukaryota; Metazoa; Chordata; Actinopteri; Gobiiformes; Gobiidae
Description: tRNA-Thr
Rfam family: tRNA
About the family: Transfer RNA (tRNA) molecules are approximately 80 nucleotides in length. Their secondary structure includes four short double-helical elements and three loops (D, anti-codon, and T loops). Further hydrogen bonds mediate the characteristic L-shaped molecular structure. tRNAs have two regions of fundamental functional importance: the anti-codon, which is responsible for specific mRNA codon recognition, and the 3' end, to which the tRNAs corresponding amino acid is attached (by aminoacyl-tRNA synthetases). tRNAs cope with the degeneracy of the genetic code in two manners: having more than one tRNA (with a specific anti-codon) for a particular amino acid; and 'wobble' base-pairing, i.e. permitting non-standard base-pairing at the 3rd anti-codon position.
Source: RNAcentral
GCAACAGUAGCUCAGCGUCAGAGCGCCGGUCUUGUAAGCCGGCCGCCGGAGGUUAAAACCCUCCCUGCUGCU